GGAUUGAGAACGGCCCAGACUCCUACGGGGGGCAGCAGUGAGGAAUUUUCGGCAAUGGGCGCAAGCCUGACCGAGCAACGCCGCGUGCAGGAAGACGGCCUUCGGGUUGUAAACUGCUUUUCCCAGGGACGAGGAAGGACGGUACCUGGGGAAUCAGCUCCGGCUAACUACGUGCCAGCAGCCGCGGUAAGACGUAGGGAGCAAGCGUUGUCCGGAGUAACUGGGCGUAAAGGGCACGCAGGCGGUGCGCCGCGUUGCCACUGACAGCUGUCGGCUUCACUGACGGAGGAGUGGCAAAACGGGGGCACUUGAGCCUCAGAGAGGGAGACGGAAUUCCGCGUGGAGCGGUGAAAUGCGUAGAGAUGCGGAAGAACACCAAAGGCGAAGGCAGUCUCCUGGCUGAGAGCUGACGCUCAGGUGCGAAAGCCAGGGGAGCGAACAGGAUUAGAUACCCUGGUAGUCCUGGCGGUAAACGAUGACCACGAGAUAUGCGGGGGAUCGACCCCCUGCGUGUCGGCGCUAACGCAGUAAGUGGUCCGCCUGGGGAGUACGGUCGCAAGAUUAAAACUCAAAGGAAUUGACGGGGACCCGCACAAGCAGCGGAGCGUGUGGUUUAAUUCGAUGCAACGCGA
Molecule: ribosomal RNA, 632 nt
Filed under: uncultured Ktedonobacteria bacterium
Lineage: Bacteria; Bacillati; Chloroflexota; Ktedonobacteria
Description: bacterial SSU rRNA
Rfam family: Bacterial small subunit ribosomal RNA
Source: RNAcentral